This 3644-nucleotide long non-coding RNA is filed under the name Gallus gallus (chicken). RNAcentral's name for it is "long non-coding RNA NONGGAT007814". Lineage: Eukaryota; Metazoa; Chordata; Aves; Galliformes; Phasianidae. The record is from RNAcentral.
AAAAGGAGGAAAGGUGUCCUGCUGCAGUGCAUGGUGGAAGCAGUGCACACAGUUUCUACAAAGCUCUUCAUCCAGAAAAAAAUACAAAACAACGACUGAGUUUAUCAUAGAGACAACACUUGCACACAGACAAAGUAAGUGGAAAAUCAUAGACCUGCAAGUUGAAUAAAUAGGGCUUGUUCAUAUAAAACAAGUUCCUCUCUAUCUUGCUCACCUACUUCAGGGCCUCUGGCCCAUGCUCAGAAAAAUAAAAGCAGGAGGAGGAGUUUGGCUUUGUGUGAUGGUUAAACUGGGACCACAGAGCUUCAGUGGAAAGCUGAGGUCUGAAGCAUCCAUUUGCUUCAGCUGAAACACUCAGAAGGAGUAGCAGAAAGAGGAAACAGGUAAGAGGGGAGUGAUGGGGCUGGAAGAGGGGAAUCUGGCAUUUCUGCAUGGGCUGCAGUGCUGCAUACGACGAGCAAAAAAAGUAGCAUCGUGUGGCUUUUUGUCAGGGUGGGUGUUGCAUUUUGUUGUUUCUUUGGGAAACUUAUUUAGGGAAGUGCCAUUGACCUCAGGUGGAAAUAGGAUAAGGGCCAUCCAGAACAGGAAGGGAGGGAGCAUCUGAGAGCAGAUAGAGUGCACACAAAAUGAGGGGAAGUGUUCCAAAUAACUGGUUUUCCUUUCACAAAGUGAAAAGCAAAUCAAAUGACACGUCUGUCGUCAUUCCCCACGGAGCUGGGCAGACGCAGGGUCAAGGAAAUCACGCGGCCAAAAAUGCGUCGUCAUCGUCGCUACUUUUCCCUACAGCUCCAGCAAACUCCAGCCAGUGCUAGGGCAGCAUUUAAAGGGCUCUCUGUGCCCAGGCACAGCAGCCAGGCAUCGGGAGUGAUCCCAAAAUCUUCUGCAGAUCUGCUGAGGUCUGGUGCACCCACCACCAUGAAUAACUUUGGGACAGAUUGGGGAAGGACGUCUACAUCAGAAAGGCAGAACAGGUUGUUAUAUAGGUCGAGAGAGCAAAGUUAAACUUCAGUAUCACGUUAUACUACACUACACUGCUUAUAAAAAGGGUCCUACAUCCCAAACACCCCAAAUAAUGAGCUAUCAUUUUGUACAUAAAUUAAUGCUGCUUUGAAGUAAAAUAGUCUCUUUCUUUUGUAUUAAACAUUCAUUGCACAGAAUUCUUUGUAAGUAAAUAUAUUAAAUUUGGUUGCUAAGAAGGUAUAAAUGUAUCUUAUUAAUACAUCUGGCCAGUAAAUUUUAUCCAUCAUCACACAACUGAAAGUUUCCUUUAGAGAAAAUUAUUACUGGAGAGAAGAAUGCACUUGGAAGUCAACUCAGGAGUUAACGCUGGAAGAAAUCCUGUUAUUUCAUUCCACCCACAGCAAGCGGCUUCUUCCGGCUGCAACAUUAAUUGGAAGUACAGACCCUGUCCAGCCCUGCCGAGAUGGAGGCAUCCAGCUUCAUAGCUCGCAAGCCUCUUGUCACUGAAGCAGUCGCACCCUUUCAGGACAUGCAUUAUCUCCACCGACACUGUCCAAGGGGUAAUGUUUUGGGUCAAGAUCAUUACUUCUCCUGGGAUGGUGCCCGGCACGAGGGAGUCUCUGGAAGGUCCCUGUGCAGGAGCAAGCUCACCUCUGUGAAAAUGGCCCUCAGAUCCAUCUCCAGACAGGGAGACAAAGAGGAUCCAGCAAAGCACAAUAUGUGUAGAACUCAUCCCACUGCAGGCCGUGGUCUUGGAGAUGGCUGUGCGACCAGAGCUGAGGGGCUGGGCUGGGUGAGGGCUCCCCAGGGGCAGGAGCCUGGCCCUCUUCCACUUUCACUUGUGGCUCGGAGAGGACCUCGCACCAGGUGAAAAGGCUCCGCAAAAGAAAGGGGAGGUUGGGCCAUGCCAUGGAGCUCCCUUCACCCACCCAACCACUGUGUGGCUUGGGCUGAGGGAGGAAAGGCUGAGCCUCUGCAUCUAUUUUAUACACAAAACAUACCAAAGGAAUAGUUACGACAUCUUCUAUGAACAAGGUGGGACAAAUCCAGCCUAAGCAAAAGCAGGAGCCAUUUCGCUGCCUUCGGUGGAGAGCACAGCUGGACCUGGUCCCCAGAGAGCACACAAACAGCACAACCCACCCAACCAAAUCUGCAAUAAACAGCCUCACUCCACGAACACUAGCGACUAGCUAUUCCAGUUCAUCAAUGUACAGCAAGAAAGUGUUUCUGAAACUUCUGAGCCUUACUGAAAAGAUAGUUAGCACAAGGCUGGUUCAGCUCAAUUUGCACAGGUUGGCCAAAGGGAGAGAUCUGCUCUGAUCCGCGCCCAGGCGGCAGCCUGGAGAUCCCGCGUAGCGAUGGAGGCUAAUCUUACACUUGCAUCUCUAUACAAAAGUUACAAAAUCAAAUGGUGACAUUAUAUUACAACUAUUGUCCAUAAUAUCACAGUGCUAGUUUUAAAUGGCUAAAAACAAUAAAGGUUUUAGAUUUAAGACACCCCUUCUGGAGAAAUGUAACCCCUUGGUCCUGCUGUUGAUACCUGAAAGCAGCCUUGCUUAACAAAGGUAAAUCCAAUGAGAUGUGCUAAUUGAAACUAGGAACAUUUUUCCUUUGUAAUCUCAAAUCUGUGGUGCAUUUCCUAACACGUCCCUUUGUUUCCCACAGACAAACUAAACAAAUAAUAUGAAUCUCAGCCUGAAAGUCAAAAUGUUGAAAAGAACAGUUCUAAAGCCCAUACACUUCCUACCAGGUACUAACUAAAUAAAACCCUUGCAAAUUUAAAUACAGAUUAGUUUGAUAUAUCUUCAGAGUGUUAGCUUGUCAACAACAUUCACAAUGAAGUUUCACUUCUGAGGCCAUGGAAUUCCUACUCAUCCUUUUCAGUUCUGCUUUCAAGAGUAUCUGUGCUGUCUUCCACUUCUGGAGCUGGAUGCACUAAAGUAUCUGCAAAGAAAUGGUUUGUCAGUAUUGAUUCCCCCAUACUGUACAACAGCCUUCAUGUGACUCCCUGCUCCAUGAGGCAGAUGAUCUGCUGGGCACUCAGCCUUGAAAUUGGUAAUUUGUUGUACUUGCAAACCAAUAGUUAAACCUGGAGUAAUGUACUCUGAGUGCAUCGCCGCCUGACUUCACAGGGGAAUUCAGACCUUGGGAUGGGUAUUAAUGAGAUGAGGUGACGACCCUUUUCAUUAAAAGCAAGAGAGCCACCAAAGUGGGAGGGCUGCCUGCUGUCUAAGUGCUCAAAUGUUUCCUCCUGAAGACGUAGCAAGUCCUAAUGUCACUGCACAAAAACAACACAGAGGCCAUCAUGCGCCUGUGGUCCAAGCCAUAGAUUGGCUCCUGUUUCUUCUUGAAUGAUACAACCCCGUGGUUGCCUCUGCUAAGGAAUGUUGGCUGGUACAGUAGGUGAUGUGACACUGCAGAAUCAGACCUUGUGUCAUUGCCCCUCUGAAGGCAUGGGAAGGUGCAUCCUGCACCCCAUCCUAGCUGCUGUCUCUGGGCAUUCGUGGGGCUAAUGUUGUUGCAUGGAAAUGGAAACCGUGUCACUCGUUAAGGGGAAAUGAGAACACUGAGAUGGAAAAAAAGCCACCAGAAAUAGAGUGCAAACUACACUAACAAGGUCUUAUCUUUAGGCAUAUUUAGCCCACAGUGACCCUAUUAUCGUAUCUACAUAUUUGUGAGCUCCU